UACGGAGGGCGCGAGCGUUAACCGGAAUAAUUGGGCGUAAAGGGCACGCAGGCGGGUUUUUAAGUGAAGUGUGAAAUCCCCGGGCUCAACCUGGGAAUAGCAUUUCAGACUGGGAGUCUAGAGUACUUUAGGGAGGGGUGGAAUUCCACGUGUAGCGGUGAAAUGCGUAGAGAUGGGGAGGAAUACCGGAGGCGAAGGCAGCGACUUGGUAAUGUACUGACGCUGAGGUGCGAAAGCGUGGGGAGCAAACAGG
This 253-nucleotide ribosomal RNA is filed under the name uncultured bacterium. Its description in RNAcentral is "partial 16S ribosomal RNA". It matches the Rfam family "Bacterial small subunit ribosomal RNA", at positions 524 to 776 of the family's 1533-position model. The record is from RNAcentral.